CCCUGAUCGUAUCGAAGUUCUAACCUGGCGCCGUGAUCCGGUGCGGGGACCGUGUCAGGCGGGCAGUUUGACUGGGGCGGUCGCCUCCCAAAGCGUAACGGAGGCGCCCAAAGGUUCCCUCAGAAUGGUUGGAAAUCAUUCGGAGCGUGUAAAGGCAGAAGGGAGCUUGACUGCGAGACUGACAAGUCGAGCAGGGACGAAAGUCGGGCUUAGUGAUCCGGUGGUACCGAAUGGAAGGGCCAUCGCUCAACGGAUAAAAGCUACCCUGGGGAUAACAGGCUUAUCUCCCCCAAGAGUCCACAUCGACGGGGAGGUUUGGCACCUCGAUGUCGGCUCAUCGCAUCCUGGGGCUGAAGUAGGUCCCAAGGGUUGGGCUGUUCGCCCAUUAAAGCGGUACGCGAGCUGGGUUCAGAACGUCGUGAGACAGUUCGGUCCCUAUCUGUCGCGGGCGCAGGAAAUUUGAGAGGAGCUGUCCUUAGUACGAGAGGACCGGGAUGGACGUACCGCUGGUGUACCAGUUGUUCCGCCAGGAGCACCGCUGGGUAGCCAAGUACGGAAGGGAUAAGCGCUGAAAGCAUCUAAGCGCGAAGCCUCCCUCAAGAUGAGAUUUCCCACUGUAAAGGUAAGACCCCUGGAAGAUGACCAGGUUGAUAGGUUCGAGGUGGAAGCGCGGCAACGCGUGAAGCUGACGAAUACUAAUCGGUCGAGGGCUUAUCCUAAAUUU
Molecule: ribosomal RNA, 724 nt
Filed under: Paenibacillaceae bacterium
Lineage: Bacteria; Bacillati; Bacillota; Bacilli; Caryophanales; Paenibacillaceae
Description: bacterial LSU rRNA
Rfam family: Bacterial large subunit ribosomal RNA
Source: RNAcentral